CGGUCUUGUAAAUCUCUGGGUAAAUCCCAUCGCUCAACGGUGGGAAGACUGGAGAGACUGCAAGACUAGGGAUCGGGUGAGGUAAGAGGUACUCCUGGGGUAGGGGUAAAAUCCUGUAAUCCUGGGGAGGACGACCGGUGGCGAAGGCGUCUUACUAGAACGACUCCGACGGUGAGGGACGAAGGCUAGGGGAGCAAACCGGAUUAGAUACCCGGGUAGUCCUAGCUGUAAACGCUGCCCACUUGGUGUUGCCCUUUCGUAGGGAAGGGGCAGUGCCGGAGCGAAGGUGUUAAGUGGGCCGCUUGGGGGA
Molecule: ribosomal RNA, 310 nt
Filed under: uncultured archaeon
Lineage: Archaea
Description: bacterial SSU rRNA
Rfam family: Archaeal small subunit ribosomal RNA
Source: RNAcentral